This 515-nucleotide ribosomal RNA is filed under the name uncultured bacterium. RNAcentral's name for it is "bacterial SSU rRNA". It matches the Rfam family "Bacterial small subunit ribosomal RNA", at positions 798 to 1317 of the family's 1533-position model. The record is from RNAcentral.
CACGGUAAACGAUGGAUGCCCGCUGUUGGCGAUACACAGUCAGCGGCCAAGCGAAAGCGUUAAGCAUCCCACCUGGGGAGUACGCCGGCAACGGUGAAACUCAAAGGAAUUGACGGGGGCCCGCACAAGCGGAGGAACAUGUGGUUUAAUUCGAUGAUACGCGAGGAACCUUACCCGGGCUUGAACUGCAGCAGAACGAUUCAGAGAUGAUGAGGCCCUUCGGGGCUGCUGUGGAGGUGCUGCAUGGUUGUCGUCAGCUCGUGCCGUGAGGUGUCGGCUUAAGUGCCAUAACGAGUGCAACCCUUUUCCUUAGUUGCCAUCAGGUCGAGCUGGGCACUCUGGGGACACUGCCACCGUAAGGUGUGAGGAAGGUGGGGAUGACGUCAAAUCAGCACGGCCCUUACGUCCGGGGCUACACACGUGUUACAAUGGGGAGUACAGAGCGUCGAGUGCCGGCAACGUCACUCCAAUCAUGAAAGCUCUCCUCAGUUCGGAUUGGGGUCUGCAACCCGACC